Molecule: ribosomal RNA, 460 nt
Filed under: uncultured bacterium
Lineage: Bacteria
Description: partial 16S ribosomal RNA
Rfam family: Bacterial small subunit ribosomal RNA
Source: RNAcentral
CCUACGGGUGGCAGCAGUGAGGAAUAUUGGUCAAUGGACGAGAGUCUGAACCAGCCAAGUAGCGUGAAGGAUGACUGCCCUAUGGGUUGUAAACUUCUUUUAUAUGGGAAUAAACUGUUCCACGUGUGGGAUUUUGUAUGUACCAUAUGAAUAAGGAUCGGCUAACUCCGUGCCAGCAGCCGCGGUAAUACGGAGGAUCCGAGCGUUAUCCGGAUUUAUUGGGUUUAACGGGAGCGUAGGUGGAUUGUUAAGUCAGUUGUGAAAGUUUGCGGCUCAACCGUAAAAUUGCAGUUGAAAAUGGCAGUCUUGAGUACAGUAGAGGUGGGCGGAAUUCGUGGUGUAGCGGUGAAAUGCUUAGAUAUCACGAAGAACUCCGAUUGCGAAGGCAGUUCACUGGACUGCAACUGACACUGAGGCUCGAAAGUGUGGGUAUCAAACAGGAUUAGAUACCCCAGUAGUC